GAUGAAGAACGCAGCGAAAUGCGAUAAGUAAUGUGAAUUGCAGAAUUCAGUGAAUCAUCGAAUCUUUGAACGCACAUUGCGCCCCCUGGUAUUCCGGGGGGCAUGCCUGUUCGAGCGUCAUUUCACCACUCAAGCCUCGCUUGGUAUUGGGCAACGCGGUCCGCCGCGUGCCUCAAAUCGACCGGCUGGGUCUUCUGUCCCCUAAGCGUUGUGGAGACUAUUCGCUAAAGGGUGUUCGGGAGGCUACGCCGUAAAACAACCCCAUUUCUAAGGUUGACCUCGGAUCAGGUAGGGAUACCCGCUGAACUUAAGCAUAUCAAUAAGCGGAGGA
RNAcentral lists this unclassified non-coding RNA (331 nucleotides) under soil metagenome. RNAcentral's name for it is "partial contains 5.8S ribosomal RNA, internal transcribed spacer 2, and large subunit ribosomal RNA". The stretch from base 1 to 120 matches the Rfam family "5.8S ribosomal RNA", at positions 35 to 154 of the family's 154-position model. The record is from RNAcentral.